Molecule: long non-coding RNA, 699 nt
Organism: Tachyglossus aculeatus (Australian echidna)
Lineage: Eukaryota; Metazoa; Chordata; Mammalia; Monotremata; Tachyglossidae
Exons: 3
Source: RefSeq, a predicted model, not a curated record
GCAGCAACCUACUGUGAAGAUCCUGGAGGAUUUUAGUGUCCGCACUCUGUAUGAUAAACUGGAAGACCAGAAUCUCCAUCUGGCGUAUCAGCUACGCAGACACAGGAUGGAUGCUUUGGCCUUUUACAAAAGCAUUGCCCAGUAGAUCCAAGGGUUAAAGGUCAGAACCAAGAGGCCCUGGUCCAGAUGGAAACUGUCUUCCUUGGGAAAGGAAACACUCUGAAGAAAGAUAAUUUCCUCCAUCAGGAUUUUCUGCAAAGAAUAAUCUCAGUUGAGCAGCUUGGCCUGCAGACUAAAGCCAUCCCUGAGCCUGAGUUGGAAACCAUCACUAGGGCAGACACUGGAUACAGUCAAAAUUCCUGGGAUGGUGACAUCAGAGUGUUUUGGGGAAUGAACCAUAGGUAAUGCCUGGGUGAGAGAAGUCAGAACGAUGAACUCCUGAAGACCCCACCAUCUUUCCUCCCUGAAGUGCACGAGAUGCAGAAGGCAGAGGGAAUGGAGGUGACAGAACAGACACUGGACAAGAACAAGGCAAGGGAACAUUCGCUGGUCAGUUUGCAGAUGGAAGAGGCUGCACAAGGGCAGGUGGUGGCCAGAAGCAUGUUUACAACUGCACACUGAGACUCAGAUCAACUUUGAAAUUACAGAGAAUCUAGGCCCAACUGAAUGGAGCCAAAUGGUGGAUGAAGGGACCACAAC